This is a non-coding RNA of Sitodiplosis mosellana (orange wheat blossom midge), 73 nucleotides long. Lineage: Eukaryota; Metazoa; Arthropoda; Insecta; Diptera; Cecidomyiidae. The record is from the annotation of a RefSeq genome assembly.
GGUCGCAUAGUGUAGUGGUUAUCACGCCUGCUUCACACGCAGGAGGUCCUCAGUUCAAUCCUGAGUGCGACCA